UACGGGGGGAGCAAGCGUUAAUCGGAAUUACUGGGCGUAAAGCGUGCGCAGGCGGUUUUGUAAGUCUGUCGUGAAAUCCCCGGGCUUAACCUGGGAAUGGCGAUGGAGACUGCAAGGCUAGAGUUUGGCAGAGGGGGGUAGAAUUCCACGUGUAGCAGUGAAAUGCGUAGAGAUGUGGAGGAACACCGAUGGCGAAGGCAGCCCCCUGGGUCAAGACUGGCGCUCAUGCACGAAAGCGUGGGGAGCAAACAGG
This 253-nucleotide ribosomal RNA is filed under the name uncultured bacterium. RNAcentral's name for it is "partial 16S ribosomal RNA". It matches the Rfam family "Bacterial small subunit ribosomal RNA", at positions 524 to 776 of the family's 1533-position model. The record is from RNAcentral.